AGAAGCACCGGCUAACUACGUGCCAGCAGCCGCGGUAAUACGUAGGGUGCGAGCGUUAUCCGGAAUUAUUGGGCGUAAAGAGCUCGUAGGCGGUUUGUCGCGUCUGUCGUGAAAGUCCGGGGCUUAACCCCGGAUCUGCGGUGGGUACGGGCAGACUAGAGUGCAGUAGGGGAGACUGGAAUUCCUGGUGUAGCGGUGGAAUGCGCAGAUAUCAGGAGGAACACCGAUGGCGAAGGCAGGUCUCUGGGCUGUAACUGACGCUGAGGAGCGAAAGCAUGGGGAGCGAACAGGAUUAGAUACCCUGGUAGUCCAUGCCGUAAACGUUGGAUACUCGCUGUUGGCGAUAUACUGUCAGCGGCCAAGCGAAAGCAUUAAGUCUCCCACCUGGGGAGUACGCCGGCAACGGUGAAACUCAAAGGAUUGACCGUGGGCCCGCACGAA
This 441-nucleotide ribosomal RNA is filed under the name uncultured bacterium. Its description in RNAcentral is "bacterial SSU rRNA". It matches the Rfam family "Bacterial small subunit ribosomal RNA", at positions 486 to 929 of the family's 1533-position model. The record is from RNAcentral.